ANNGCCGCUUANCANGCNAGUCGAGCGAUGAAAUUUCGACAGAUCCCUUCGNGGUGAAGAUGAAAUGGAUUAGCGGCGGACGGGUGAGAUAACACGCUGAGUAACCUGCCUUAGACAUUGGGAUAGCCUCGGGAAACCGGGAUUAAUACCAAAUGAAAUCACAUAUGCACNUGCAUAAAUGAUCAAAGCUCCGGCGGUCUAAGAUGGACUCGCGUCCCAUUANCUAGUUGGUGAGGUAACGGCCCACCAAGGCGACGAUGGGUAGCCGGCCUGAGAGGGUGAACGGCCACAUUGGAACUGAGAAACGGUCCAAACUCCUACGGGAGGGCAGCAGA
This 335-nucleotide ribosomal RNA is filed under the name Streptomyces sp. CNC8-15-20. RNAcentral's name for it is "partial 16S ribosomal RNA". It matches the Rfam family "Bacterial small subunit ribosomal RNA", at positions 54 to 354 of the family's 1533-position model. Lineage: Bacteria; Bacillati; Actinomycetota; Actinomycetes; Kitasatosporales; Streptomycetaceae. The record is from RNAcentral.